GUGCUCACUUUGGCAUCACAUAUACUGAAAUUGGAACAAUACACAGAAGAUUAUCAUGGCCCCUGCACAAGGAUAACAUGCAAAUCCAUAAGGUGUUCCCUAUUUUC
This 107-nucleotide small nuclear RNA is filed under the name Microcebus murinus (gray mouse lemur). The record is from RNAcentral. Lineage: Eukaryota; Metazoa; Chordata; Mammalia; Primates; Cheirogaleidae.